This 373-nucleotide small RNA is filed under the name Histoplasma capsulatum. RNAcentral's name for it is "hypothetical RNA". The record is from RNAcentral. RNAcentral also lists the same sequence under 1 other name. Lineage: Eukaryota; Fungi; Ascomycota; Eurotiomycetes; Onygenales; Ajellomycetaceae.
AUCUAUCACUACUAAUCUAUACCAUUGUCAAUCUAUCUAUUACUGCUAAUCUAUUACUGCUGUCAAUCUAUCUACUACUGUCAAUCUAUCUAUCACUGUCAAUCUAUCUACUACUAUUAAUCUAUCACUACUAAUCUAUUGCUGCUAAUCUAUUACUGCUAAUCUAUCUAUCACUAUUAAUCUAUUACUGUCAAUCUAUCUACCACUGUCAAUCUAUCUAUCACUGUCAAUCUAUCUACUACUGUUAAUCUAUCUAUCACUGUUAAUCUAUCACUGUUAAUCUAUCACUGUCAAUCUAUCUACUGCUGUCAAUCUAUCUACUGCUGUCAAUCUAUCUACCACUGCUAAUCUAUCACUGCUAAUCUAUUGCUGC